AUGUGGACCUGUCUUCGUCAGCGCUAUCAGCCCUCUGGUGAUGCCUUAUACCUUUCUGUGGUCCGUCAGGAGCAUGCUCUUCAGCAGGGUGACUCUACUGUUGAUGACUUCUAUGCACAGAGUUUUGCUAUCUGGUGCCAGCUUGAUUCUCUCCGCAGUGCUGGUUGUCGUACCUGCCCCUGUUGCCAGGCUGUCCAGGCCAAUUUGGAGUUUCAUCGCGUCUAUGAGUUCCUAUCUCGGCUCCGUAAGGAGUUUGAGCCCCGGCGUGCUCAGUUGUUUGCUCGUGGUCGUAUUUCUCUCAUGGAGGCGCUUUCUGAGAUGCUUACGUGGUGCUGGUUUGCUGGAGGUUCCCUCUGUGCUCGCUACUCGUGCUCCUGCGCCACCUGCUGCACCGACCCCUUCUCGCUCGAGUGCUCCGCCGCUCUUGCCCACUCCUUCUAG
Molecule: ribosomal RNA, 441 nt
Filed under: Triticum aestivum (bread wheat)
Lineage: Eukaryota; Viridiplantae; Streptophyta; Magnoliopsida; Poales; Poaceae
Description: partial small subunit ribosomal RNA
Source: RNAcentral